AAACUUUUAACAACGGAUCUCUUGGUUCUG
RNAcentral lists this ribosomal RNA (30 nucleotides) under uncultured Cladosporium. RNAcentral describes it as "partial 5.8S ribosomal RNA". Lineage: Eukaryota; Fungi; Ascomycota; Dothideomycetes; Cladosporiales; Cladosporiaceae. The record is from RNAcentral.